AUUGAACGCUGGCGGCAGGCUUAACACGUGCAAGCCGAGCGGGGGAAGGUAGCUUGCUACCGGACCUAGCGGCGGACGGGUGAGUAAUGCUUAGGAAUCUGCCUAUUAGUGGGGGACAACAUCUCGAAAGGGAUGCUAAUACCGCAUACGUCCUACGGGAGAAAGCAGGGGAUCUUCGGACCUUGCGCUAAUAGAUGAGCCUAAGUCGGAUUAGCUAGUUGGUGGAGUAAAGGCCUACCAAGGCGACGAUCUGUAGCGGGUCUGAGAGGAUGAUCCGCCACAUUGGGACGGGGACACGGCCCAGACACCUACGGGAGGCAGCAGUGGGGAAUAUUGGACAAUGGGGGGAACCCUGAUCCAGCCAUGCCGCGUGUGUGAAGAAGGCCUUAUGGUUGUAAAGCACUUUAAGCGAGGAGGAGGCUACUUUAGUUAAUACCUAGAGAUAGUGGACGUUACUCGCAGAAUAAGCACCGGCUAACUCUGUGCCAGCAGCCGCCGUAA
RNAcentral lists this ribosomal RNA (501 nucleotides) under uncultured bacterium. RNAcentral describes it as "partial 16S ribosomal RNA". It matches the Rfam family "Bacterial small subunit ribosomal RNA", at positions 30 to 523 of the family's 1533-position model. The record is from RNAcentral.